UACGAAGGGGGCUAGCGUUGCUCGGAAUCACUGGGCGUAAAGCGCACGUAGGCGGCUUCUUAAGUCAGGGGUGAAAUCCUGGAGCUCAACUCCAGAACUGCCUCGGAUACUGGGCGUCUCGAGUGUGGUAGGGGUAUGCGGAACUAUCGGUGGAGCGGUGAAAUGCGUUGAUAUCGAUAGGAACUCCGGUGGCGAAGGCGGCAUACUGGACCACUACUGACGCUGAUGCGCGAAAGCCAGGGGAGCAAACGGG
This 253-nucleotide ribosomal RNA is filed under the name uncultured bacterium. RNAcentral describes it as "partial 16S ribosomal RNA". It matches the Rfam family "Bacterial small subunit ribosomal RNA", at positions 524 to 776 of the family's 1533-position model. The record is from RNAcentral.